This 124-nucleotide non-coding RNA is filed under the name Pseudopedinella elastica. Lineage: Eukaryota; Dictyochophyceae; Pedinellales. The record is from RNAcentral.
CGAACCAAAGAAAUACGAAAAAAAAAGGCAAGAAGCAAGGGCCCAGUAGUCAGCAUGCCGCUAAAUACGCACGGCGUUAUCCAGUGUUUUUUCAUUUUUUUAAUAUCUCUUGUUUGUAGAUAAC